AGCCUGUCCCAGUUCGGACUGGAGUCUGNAACCCGACUCCACGAAGUUGGAUUCGCUAGUAAUCGCGCAUCAGCCAUGGCGCGGUGAAUACGUUCCCGGGCCUUGUACACACCGCCCGUCAAGCCAUGGGAGCCGGGGGCGCCUGAAGUCCGGGACCGCGAGGACCGGCCUAGGGCGAAACUGGUAACUGGGGCUAAGUCGUAACAAGGUAAC
RNAcentral lists this ribosomal RNA (213 nucleotides) under uncultured bacterium. RNAcentral describes it as "partial 16S ribosomal RNA". It matches the Rfam family "Bacterial small subunit ribosomal RNA", at positions 1280 to 1500 of the family's 1533-position model. The record is from RNAcentral.